Long non-coding RNA from Xiphophorus couchianus (Monterrey platyfish), 73 nucleotides. RefSeq lists it as uncharacterized. The transcript has 3 exons. The record is from RefSeq and is a predicted model, not a curated record. Lineage: Eukaryota; Metazoa; Chordata; Actinopteri; Cyprinodontiformes; Poeciliidae.
CGGCCUACUCAAAGUCUUAACUAGAAUCCAAUUAAGAAUUUGUGUCAAAACUUUAAAAAUGACGCUCUUCGUC